RNAcentral lists this small RNA (81 nucleotides) under uncultured Micromonas. RNAcentral describes it as "partial transfer-messenger RNA". Lineage: Eukaryota; Viridiplantae; Chlorophyta; Mamiellophyceae; Mamiellales. The record is from RNAcentral.
CGACCGGAGGGUUCGCCCACCUCUCCCGCGUUUACCCCUCGGUUCGCCGACCUCUCCCGUCGAGCCGCCGACGCCACCGCC